This 371-nucleotide ribosomal RNA is filed under the name uncultured bacterium. RNAcentral describes it as "bacterial SSU rRNA". It matches the Rfam family "Bacterial small subunit ribosomal RNA", at positions 527 to 896 of the family's 1533-position model. The record is from RNAcentral.
GUAGGUUGCGAGCGUUGUCCGGAUUUACUGGGCGUAAAGCGCGCGCAGGCGGUCCUGAAAGUCGAGCGUGAAAGCUCCCGGCCCAACUGGGAGAGGCCGUUCGAAACUUCAGGACUUGAAGACGGGAGAGGCAAAUGGAAUUUCCGGUGUAGCGGUAAAAUGCGUAGAUACCGGAAGGAACACCAGUGGCGAAAGCGAUUUGCUGGCCCGUCCUUGACGCUCAGGCGCGAAAGCUAGGGGAGCGACCGGGAUUAGAUACCCCGUUAGUCCUAGCCGUAAACAAUGGGCACUAGGUGUUGUCGGUAUCGACCCCGGCAGUGCCGUAGCUAACGCAUUAAGUGCCCCGCCUGGGGAGUACGGCCGCAAGGUUG